UACGGGGGGGGCAAGCGUUGUUCGGAAUUACUGGGCGUAAAGGGCUCGUAGGCGGCCAACUAAGUCGGAUGUGAAAUCCCCAGGCUUAACCUGGGAACUGCAUCCGAUACUGGAUGGCUUGAGUUCGGGAGAGGGAUGCGGAAUUCCAGGUGUAGCGGUGAAAUGCGUAGAUAUCUGGAGGAACACCGGUGGCGAAGGCGGCAUCCUGGACCGACACUGACGCUGAGGAGCGAAAGCCAGGGGAGCAAACGGG
Molecule: ribosomal RNA, 253 nt
Filed under: uncultured bacterium
Lineage: Bacteria
Description: partial 16S ribosomal RNA
Rfam family: Bacterial small subunit ribosomal RNA
Source: RNAcentral